Molecule: ribosomal RNA, 520 nt
Filed under: uncultured bacterium
Lineage: Bacteria
Description: bacterial SSU rRNA
Rfam family: Bacterial small subunit ribosomal RNA
Source: RNAcentral
AAUGAACGCUGGCGGCGUGCUUAACACAUGCAAGUCGAACGAGAAAGGCUGUCUUCGGAUGGCUGAGUAAAGUGGCGCACGGGUGAGUAACGCGUGGGUAAUCUGCCCUUGAGUCUGGAAUAACGUUCCGAAAGGGGCGCUAAUACGGGAUAAGACCACGGUCGCUUUGGCGGCAGGGGUAAAAGGCCCUUUCGGGGGUCGCUUGGGGAUGAGCCCGCGUGACAUUAGAUUGACGGUGGGGUAAUGGCCUACCGUAUUGUCGACGAUGUCUAGCUGGUCUGAGAGGAUGAUCAGCCACACUGGGACUGGAACACGGCCCAGACUCCUACGGGAGGCAGCAGUGAGGAAUUUUGCGCAAUGGGGGAAACCCUGACGCAGCAACGCCGCGUGAGUGAUGAAGGCCUUUUGGUUGUAAAGCUCUGUCGCCUGGGAAGAACCCUUGGGGGAGGAAAUGCCCUUAAGCUGACGGUACCAGGAAAGGAAGGACCGGCUAACUCCGUGCCAGCCGCCGCAGUAACAC